GCUCAUGUGGAAAUUUCAACUUGCAUCAUUUCAAAAAACCUCCCAUUCUCCCUUAACAAGUAAUUUUCAUCAGGUUUUUGCCAAAACGGUGUGUUUUUGUUAUUUCAGAGGUUUAAUGUUAAUUCCCAACACGCAAACCUUAAUGCAAAUUCAACCAUCAUCCAGUACAGAGCUUUAUAUCCAAAUAUGAGGAAAUUAUUAAGACAGGAUUAUGGAAGUGGAAGGUGGUUUUUUCAACCUGCUGUUAGCUGGCCACAGUUUAAAAAUCACUUUGUUAGUUAUUAGGAUGAUUUCUUGGUGGGGGCGAGUCUUAGCGAAAUAAUUCCCCAAACACAAAUAAAAUAAUCAGGGUCAAUAGGUCGGCUUAUGCAGAUGAAAAUAAAAUAAAAUUGUAAACGAUUGUUGUAUAAAUUCUUCAAUUUUAUUUUGAGGACUUUUAGCUAAGGCUAAAUUACGAGCAAAUUAAGGUUAUUUAAGAAAUUUCUAAGGAAGUUUAAGACGUAAUUAAGAAGAAUGGAAAUAGGCCUAUUGUUCUCAUAAAAUUAUCAGGCCCACUUUCUAGACAAAAUGACAUAAACCUGAAUCAAUAUUCAUAUCAAACAUGACCAAUUAGCACAAAAUCUAUAAAGCUUUUACCAAAAACUAUGUUGUAUCUUUGGCCUUGCAAAGAGAUUUUUUUCUUGUUCUAAUUUUUAAAAGGAUUUUUUUUCUAUCAAUUGCACCAGACAUUUUUUAAACUUCAUUCUCAUCCCUAAAACCCCUUCCCAACAGAAAAAAAAAAAAAGAAUUACAAAAGGUAAUAGAAUUUAUUUGUGUGUUCUAGAACUGUCAAAAGGAAGUGAAUAAAUGCCACAUUAUUUUAAUCUGUAAUCCUGAAUGAGAUGGAUGACUUUUUAUAGGAACACAAGGAUUUUACAAAACCAAAACAUUAAAAAUACGAGACGAACAAACGCCUAUAGCCAAAGAGUAUUAGAUGUAGAAAAUUUGUUUUUUUUUUUUUUUGCUUUAUAUCCGUACAUACGUAUUACAUAUAUUUAUAUAUUGCUUUGGGGGAAUAGGAAAUAAAAUAGAAAUAAAAACGCCUUUUGUGUUUAUUUUAUGAAGUACAAGGACAAGAAACAGAGGUUUUAUCACAUUUCUUUUUUUUUUUGUAUUUUUUAUGUUAAAACAAUAAUGGUGGUUUGUUUUUUCUUUUUUUUUUUUAAGUGUGUCAUAAAUCAAAUCAAAUUUAAUACCAACAAAAUAUACGAUAAAGUAUUUUUUAAGUCGAAUCGGAAUGAAAGGUAGGUACACUCUGGAUGAUUUGAUAAGAGCCAUUGUUGCAAUAUUAAAAAAAAAAAUCUAUCCACAUAUUUAAUGUUAAGUUA
Molecule: long non-coding RNA, 1367 nt
Organism: Episyrphus balteatus (marmalade hoverfly)
Lineage: Eukaryota; Metazoa; Arthropoda; Insecta; Diptera; Syrphidae
Exons: 3
Source: RefSeq, a predicted model, not a curated record